Molecule: ribosomal RNA, 385 nt
Filed under: Foraminifera environmental sample
Lineage: Eukaryota; Foraminifera
Description: SSU rRNA
Rfam family: Eukaryotic small subunit ribosomal RNA
Source: RNAcentral
ACGCACGUGUGAAACUUGAAGGAAUUGACGGAAGGGCUCCACAAGAACGCGUGGAGCAUGUGGCUUAAUUUGACCCAACGCGGGAAAUCUUACCGGGUCCGGACACACUGAGGAUUGACAGGCAAUAUUAAAUAAAGAAAAUUUUUGGACUAUCUGAUAUUUAUGUUAAAUAUGCUAGUCCUUUCAUGAUUAUGUGAUAGGUGGUGCAUGGCCGUUCUUAGUUCGUGGAGUGAUCUGUCUGCUUAAUUGCGUUUCACUAAGGGCUUAUCUAAUUAUAACGUGUGUUGCUAGAGUUUUAUACCUUUGUGACCCCUUUAAUUAGUGUGUGUCUAUAAUGGUAGCUUUGGCUCACACAAUUAAGUCCUGAAAGCAACGAACGUGACCG